UACAGAGGUCCCAAGCGUUGUUCGGAUUUACUGGGCGUAAAGGGUGCGUAGGCGGUCGGGUAAGUCUGGUGUGAAAUCUUAGAGCUUAACUCUGAAACUGCAUUGGAUACUAUUCGGCUAGAGGUCUGGAGGGGGGACUGGAAUUCUCGGUGUAGCAGUGAAAUGCGUAGAUAUCGAGAGGAACACCAGUGGCGAAGGCGAGUCCCUGGACAGAUCCUGACGCUGAGGCACGAAAGCUAGGGGAGCAAACAGG
RNAcentral lists this ribosomal RNA (253 nucleotides) under uncultured bacterium. RNAcentral describes it as "partial 16S ribosomal RNA". It matches the Rfam family "Bacterial small subunit ribosomal RNA", at positions 524 to 776 of the family's 1533-position model. The record is from RNAcentral.